UCUCCUCAGGAACUUGCUCAACAAGUUCAGCACCACCCCAAGGAAGGCACGAUAAAAUACAAGUAAUAUAGAAGUCAGCACGUGCUUGCCAAGAGGGAAUUCCUUUUUCUUCGUCCACAGUAGUCGCUGCUGAUGAUAAUAAGCUUUCGAAAAUAACCACUAAUGCACUCGGUUGGAUAACUUUGCUGCACAUCAAAACAGUCAAAAACCUCAUCAAUAUACGGAUCUUGUUGCACUGUCCAGUCUCCAACGCAUCCUGUAAAUUAAUUUGAGUGCUCUCCACUAAUUUCCUGACAAAUUCCUCAUUUUCCAAAUUCAAAAGGCCAAUCAGUGUUCCAUACAGAGGUAUCUUGUGAGGCAAUUGCUCAGCACACUGGAGAAGGAAUGGAAAAACAUCGUCCCCAGAAUGCUCUAUUUCUCGGCGAACCAAACUAUGGCAUGCAUCUAUUUGAUCUUUGAAAUCAGCAUUUCCGGCGUACUCAGGACACUUCUCGCCGAGUCGCAAGAGCAAACUCCUCCAACUACUCAUUCCUUUUUUCUUACAAGCAAAUUACAGCAGCAAGGACUCAACUGAUGCAACGAAGAACAAGAAGAAGAAGG
RNAcentral lists this unclassified non-coding RNA (600 nucleotides) under Hevea brasiliensis (rubber tree). Lineage: Eukaryota; Viridiplantae; Streptophyta; Magnoliopsida; Malpighiales; Euphorbiaceae. The record is from RNAcentral.